CCUACGGGAGGCAGCAGUGGGGAAUAUUGGACAAUGGGGGGAACCCUGAUCCAGCCAUGCCGCGUGUGUGAAGCAGGCCCUCGGGGUGUAAAGCACUUUCAGUGAGGAAGAACGCCUGGUGGUUAAUACCCAUCAGGAAAGACAUCACUCACAGCAGAAGCACCGGCUAACUCCGUGCCAGCAGCCGCGGUAAUACGGAGGGUGCGAGCGUUAAUCGGAAUUACUGGGCGUAAAGCGCGCGUAGGUGGCUUUAUAAGCCGGUUGUGAAAGCCCCGGGCUCAACCUGGGAACGGCAUCCGGAACUGUCAAGCUAGAGUGCAGGAGAGGAAGGUAGAAUUCCCGGUGUAGCGGUGAAAUGCGUAGAGAUCGGGAGGAAUACCAGUGGCGAAGGCGGCCUUCUGGACUGACACUGACACUGAGGUGCGAAAGCGUGGGUAGCAAACAGGAUUAGAUACCCUAGUAGUC
RNAcentral lists this ribosomal RNA (465 nucleotides) under Vreelandella stevensii. RNAcentral's name for it is "partial 16S ribosomal RNA". It matches the Rfam family "Bacterial small subunit ribosomal RNA", at positions 338 to 795 of the family's 1533-position model. The record is from RNAcentral. Lineage: Bacteria; Pseudomonadati; Pseudomonadota; Gammaproteobacteria; Oceanospirillales; Halomonadaceae.